UACGUAGGGUGCAAGCGUUACUCGGAAUUACUGGGCGUAAAGCGUGCGCAGGCGGUUUUGUAAGACUGUCGUGAAAUCCCCGGGCUUAACCUGGGAAUGGCGAUGGUGACUGCAAGGCUAGAGUUUGGCAGAGGGGGGUAGAAUUCCACGUGUAGCAGUGAAAUGCGUAGAGAUGUGGAGGAACACCGAUGGCGAAGGCAGCCCCCUGGGUCAAGACUGACGCUCAUGCACGAAAGCGUGGGGAGCAAACAGG
RNAcentral lists this ribosomal RNA (253 nucleotides) under uncultured bacterium. Its description in RNAcentral is "partial 16S ribosomal RNA". It matches the Rfam family "Bacterial small subunit ribosomal RNA", at positions 524 to 776 of the family's 1533-position model. The record is from RNAcentral.